This 1291-nucleotide ribosomal RNA is filed under the name uncultured bacterium FukuN15. RNAcentral describes it as "16S ribosomal RNA". It matches the Rfam family "Bacterial small subunit ribosomal RNA". Lineage: Bacteria; Bacillati; Actinomycetota; Actinomycetes. The record is from RNAcentral.
AGAGUUUGAUCCUGGCUCAGGACGAACGCUGGCGGCGUGCUUAACACAUGCAAGUCGAGCGAUGAAACACCUUCGGGUGUGAAUUAGCGGCGAACGGGUGAGGAACACGUGAAGAAUCUGCCUUCAACUCUGGGAUAACUCCAGGAAACCGGGGCUAAUACCGGAUAUGAGCCUCGAUUGCAUGAUUGGGGCUGGAAAGUUUUUCGGUUGAAGAUGACUUCGCGGCCUAUCAGCUUGUUGGUGAGGUAAUGGCUCACCAAGGCGACGACGGGUAGCCCGGCCUGAGAGGGCCACCGGCCACACUGGGACUGAGACACGGCCCAGACUCCUACGGGAGGCAGCAGUGGGGAAUAUUGGGCAAUGGAGGAAACUCUGACCCAGCGACGCCGCGUGAGGGAUGAAGGCCUUCGGGUUGUAAACCUCUUUCAGUAGGGAAGAAGCCGAAAGUGACGGUCCUACAGAAGAAGCACCGGCUAACUAUGUGCCAGCAGCCGCGGUAAUACAUAGGGUGCAAGCCUUGUCCGGAAUUAUCGGCGUAAAGAGCUCGAGCGAAAGCGUGGGGAGCGAACAGGAUUAGAUACCCUGGUAGUCCACGCCGUAAACGGUGGGCGCUAGUUGUGCGAACCUUCCACGGUUUGUGCGACGCAGCUAACGCAUUAAGCGCCCCGCCUGGGGAGUACGAUCGCAAGAUUAAAACUCAAAGGAAUUGACGGGGCCCCGCACAAGCAGCGGAGCAUGCGGCUUAAUUCGACGCAACGCGAAGAACCUUACCAAGGCUUGACAUAUACAGGAAUAUGGCAGAGAUGUCAUAGCCGCAAGGUCUGUAUACAGGUGGUGCAUGGUUGUCGUCAGCUCGUGUCGUGAGAUGUUGGGUUAAGUCCCGCAACGAGCGCAACCCUCGUUCUGUGUUGCCAGCAUUUAGUUGGGGACUCACAGGAGACUGCCGGGGUUAACUCGGAGGAAGGUGGGGAUGACGUCAAAUCAUCAUGCCCCUUAUGUCUUGGGCUGCACGCAUGCUACAAUGGCUGGUACAAACGGCUGCGAUACCGCAAGGUGGAGCGAAUCCGAGAAAGCCAGUCUCAGUUCGGAUUGGGGUCUGCAACUCGACCCCAUGAAGUCGGAGUUGCUAGUAAUCGUAGAUCAGCAACGCUACGGUGAAUACGUUCCCGGGGCUUGUACACACCGCCCGUCACAUCACGAAAGUCGGUAACACCCAAAGUCAGUGGCCCAACCGCAAGGAGGGAGCUGCCAAAGGUGGGAUCGGUGAUUGGGAUGAAGUCGUAACAAGGUA